RNAcentral lists this ribosomal RNA (253 nucleotides) under uncultured bacterium. RNAcentral's name for it is "partial 16S ribosomal RNA". It matches the Rfam family "Bacterial small subunit ribosomal RNA", at positions 524 to 776 of the family's 1533-position model. The record is from RNAcentral.
UACAGAGGGUGCGAGCGUUGUUCGGAAUUAUUGGGCGUAAAGCGCGUGUAGGCGGCUUGGCAAGUCGGGUGUGAAAGCCCUCAGCUCAACUGAGGAAGUGCGCCCGAAACUGCUUUGCUUGAGUACUGGAGAGGGUCGCGGAAUUCCCGGUGUAGAGGUGAAAUUCGUAGAUAUCGGGAGGAACACCGGUGGCGAAGGCGGCGAUCUGGGUAGAUACUGACGCUGAGGUGCGAAAGCGUGGGGAGCAAACAGG